UAGAUAAAAUAGAAAGGGACACAAAUAGACUUGUUAAGCAAAAUGUUCUUUAACAACAAUUGAAAAAUCAGCAAUUACACAGAUUUUGACUCCAAAAUUCAAGUAUGAAAAAACUGACUAAUUGAACUCGGAACCGUGAACGUCAUCCUCGAACAGUCACAUCUGAACUAGCGAAACACCAACCAAACUCAAGCAAGAUCCGUGAAUGAGAUCAACAGGGCAGAAACUAAUAUAUAUAUAUCUAAACUAAAGCCAUGGUUUGGAAUUGAGAUUUCAUCUAAACUAAAAUUAACGUAAAAAAGGUACAAUUUCGAACCUUAUCUGAGAAGAAACUCGAAGUUGAGUAGUUAUCAAUCGAAGUGAUCAAAAUAAGCGUUCACAGGCGAAAGAUCGGAGUUGGCGAUGAUUUUAGGGUUUUCUCUUUUUUUUGGGGUAGUUGGCGAUACAGGCGUGGGUUUGGGAAAAAAGAGGGAAAUAUUAG
RNAcentral lists this long non-coding RNA (481 nucleotides) under Nicotiana benthamiana. Its description in RNAcentral is "long non-coding RNA (NBEN_LNC002823)". Lineage: Eukaryota; Viridiplantae; Streptophyta; Magnoliopsida; Solanales; Solanaceae. The record is from RNAcentral.